Molecule: ribosomal RNA, 495 nt
Filed under: uncultured bacterium
Lineage: Bacteria
Description: partial 16S ribosomal RNA
Rfam family: Bacterial small subunit ribosomal RNA
Source: RNAcentral
GACGAACGCUGGCGGCGUGCCUAAUACAUGCAAGUAGAACGCUGACGGCGGAGCUUGCUUCUCCGGAUGAGUUGCGAACGGGUGAGUAACGCGUAGGUAACCUGCCUGGUAGCGGGGGAUAACUAUUGGAAACGAUAGCUAAUACCGCAUAACAGUAGAUGUUGCAUGACAUUUGCUUAAAAGGUGCAAUUGCAUCACUACCAGAUGGACCUGCGUUGUAUUAGCUAGUUGGUGAGGUAACGGCUCACCAAGCCGACGAUACAUAGCCGACCUGAGAGGGUGAGCGGCCAAACUGGGACGGGGACACGGCCCAGAACACUAGGAGUGGGAGCAGGAGGGGAUCCUCGGGAAUGGACGGAAGUCUGACCGUGCAACGCCGCGUGAGUGAAGAAGGUUGUCGGGUCGUAAAGCUCAGUUGUGAGUGAAGAACGUGUGUGAGAGUGGAAAGUGCACACUGUGACGGUAUCGUACCAGAAAGGGACGGCUAACUACGUG